This 2623-nucleotide long non-coding RNA is filed under the name Canis lupus familiaris (dog). Its description in RNAcentral is "lncRNA (ENSCAFG00040015879.1)". Lineage: Eukaryota; Metazoa; Chordata; Mammalia; Carnivora; Canidae. The record is from RNAcentral.
GCAAGAAAUACUCCUUUAUUUUUCGAUAACUAAUUUGUUUUGAUUACAGGGCCUCCAGGUGUUCCCACUAGACCUCUGGGUUAGGUGGGCCUGGGACCCACGGUGGAGGGGGCGGCUGUGUUUCAGCUGCCAGGCCUUGGUGUGACGCGUGGAGCCCCUCCUCCUGGAAGCUCCCAAGUUUUCUUUUAUUAUUAUUUUUUUUUAGAUUUAUUUAUUUAUUCAUGAGACACAGAGAGAGAGAGAGAGGCAGAGACACAGGCAGAGGGAGAAGCAGGCUCCCCGCGGGGUGCCCGGUGCGGGACUCGAUCCUGGAUCCCGGGAUCACGCCCUGAGCCGAAGGCAGGCGCCCAAACGCUGAGCCACCCAGGCGCCCCGGCUCCCAGGUUUUCAAACAGGCUUUCUUUUCUUUCUUUUUUUUUUUUUUGUAUAUUUUUGUAUUGAUUUUUUUUUUUUUUAUUGGAGUUUGCUUUGCCAACAUCUAGUAUCACACGGAGGGCUCCUCCCGUCCAGUGCCCCCCGCAGUGCCCGUCCCCCGUCCCCGCCGCCCUUCCCCUUGUUCAUCUCCCAGCUUAGGAGUCUCGGGGUCUCACACAGGCUUUGGGGGGCGGGGGGCAGCGGCCGGGCUGCGAGAGGCGCGGGGACCCGGAGCUCCGCGGCCGGGGAGCAGCGCACGCGCACGCGCAGGCUGCGAGCGGCUCCCGCCGGCUCCUCCCGCGGCGGUCGGUCCGGGGACGUUCUCCCCGCCGCGGGGGCGACUGUGACCCCCGGCGGAGGCCCGGGCGGGCCGGGUCCCGAUCGGUGCUGGCGGACGUCACCCUGCCAGGUUCGGUGGUUCUGCAGAGAAGUGAAGCAACUUGCCCAAGAUCACACAGACAGCAAGUGGACAGAGCCAGGAUUCAAACCCAGGAAGUCUGGCUCUGGAGUCCUUGCCCUUAGCCACCUUUCUCGGAAAGAUGCAAGUUACAUUAUUGCAACACAUGGGACAUGUACUCCUUGCAGUGGUUCUGGGAGAAAUCUCUGUCCAGAAAUCACGCCAGCUUGCUGUUUGAGAUGACUGCUGAAGAACUAGUCCAGUGAACCCACUUCAAAUGAGGUAAGGGAGCUGUGAUUGGGCCGCAUGACGACCAAUCAGCUGUCCUAAAACAAAGAUGCCUGGUUGCAAGCAAGAACUUUCCUUGUUAGCCCCAUUAAAAGCUGGAUAGUUUGGAUUUGAAGUGAAGAGGAAGGCUUGACUUGCCCUCCAGCUGCUGGGAGAAUCUUUUCAAGGAUCAGCUGUGGAGACCUGUAGGAUCAUCUAGUUUGUACACCUCUUCUUCUGCCUGGUUGGAAGGAAGACACCAGGGGAAGGCACUUUCCACCCACCACCCCGUCUUGCACCCCUGGUCUCCAGCACUCCCAUUAAGAUGUAAGUGGAUGAUCUGAGAUGAUCUGACUCUUACCUGCCCUUCACAGCAAGAAUCAGAAAACAAGGGUUCACUGAAUUGCAUUCUUGAGCAGAGGGCAGCAUCUUGGAUACUCUGAGAGUGUAGUUUCUGGCAUCAAACCCUCCCCAUCAGAAAUAGGCAGGCUCACAGGUGGUGGGAGCAUAAAAUUGGUACAACUCUUCUACAGGGCAACUUGGCAAAAUCUAUCAAAAUUAGAAAUGGGGAUACCCUUUGGACCAAUAAUUUCCCUUCUACAAAUACACUUUUCCAUAUUUGUGCAAAGUGGUGUGUGGACUCCAACAGUGUUGGUACUAGCACAAUAUUUGAAGCAACUUAAAGGAUGCUCCAGAGGGAAUAUAAGUAAAUAGUACCUCUAUACAAUGGGAUUCUAUACAGCCAUGGAAAAAGAAUUUUAAAACUCAUGCAUGGGGAUCCCUGGGUGGCGCAGCGGUUUAGCGCCUGCCUUUGGCCCAGGGCGCGAUCCUGGAGACCCGGGAUCGAGUCCCACAUCGGGCUCCCGGUGCAUGGAGCCUGCUUCUCCCUCUGCCUGUGUCUCUGCCUCUCUCUCUCUCACUGUGUGCCUAUCAUAAAUAAAUAAAAAAAUUAAAAAAAAUAAAUAAAACUCAUGCAUGAAUGUGAAAAGCUCCCCAAGACAUAUUGUGAAGUGUAGAAAAAGAAAAGGUAGAGUAGGAUUUGUACUGUUUGUACAAGUUGGCAAGACACUUGGAGAGGGAACGUGCAUAUGAAUGUGUGUGUGUGUGUGUGUGUGUGUGUAAGAAAAUAUCCCUGAAAGGUAACAUAAGGAAUGGGUAAUAUCAAUUGCCUACAGGGAAAGAAACCGUAUGAACUAUAUGGCUGGGGUUAGGAGUGGGAAGAAGUGUUCACUGGAUACCCUUUUAUACUUAGAAAAAGUGAGAUCAUGUGCAUCCAUCAUUUAAAAAUAAAUAUUUUUAAUAGAAAUAUAACUUGUCCGCACCACAGACUCAAAGAUCAUCUAACCAGAGCUGGGGAGGGAGGCAGUGGGAAUUGUGAUCUAUAAUUCUCUCACUAGAUUUGGGGAUGAAAAUGGGAGCAUGUUCGACUUCCUGGUAGUUUCCUUCCAGUGAAUAUCUUCCUACUUUCUCACAAUGAAGGAAAGGGAGGAAAUGCCCCCAGGCCAAACCAACCCUUGGUCGUUUCCAGUACCAUUGGGAAGGCAG